AAAAAGACGAGUGGAGCACGAGAAACACCUGCCACGUAAGAAAAGGCGAAGGUUGGAGGCCAUUAAGGAGAUGCUUGAGAAUGAAGAGGAAGACAAUAUGGAACAGGAAACUGGAGGUGGCAAAAAAGAGAAAACCGGACAAUCACUAGUUGAUCUUGCUCACCGUCGAGCAAAAUCCAUGAAAGCCAAAAUGAAAGUGCAAGAAACUGGGAUGGUUUCAAAAAUUGCUGGCAAGAAGGCCAAAAGUCAGACGAGAAAAGAUGAG
RNAcentral lists this unclassified non-coding RNA (265 nucleotides) under Hevea brasiliensis (rubber tree). The record is from RNAcentral. Lineage: Eukaryota; Viridiplantae; Streptophyta; Magnoliopsida; Malpighiales; Euphorbiaceae.